AAAGUUUGAUCCUGGCUUAGGACGAACGCUGGCGGCGUGCUUAACACAUGCAAGUCGAGCGAUGAAGCUUCUUCGGAAGUGGAUUAGCGGCGGACGGGUGAGUAACACGUGGGUAACCUGCCUCAUAGAGGGGAAUAGCCUUCCGAAAGGAAGAUUAAUACCGCAUAAGAUUGUAAUAUCGCAUGAUAUAGCAAUUAAAGGAGUAAUCCGCUAUGAGACGGACCCGCGUCGCAUUAGCUAGUUGGUGAGGUAACGGCUCACCAAGGCGACGAUGCGUAGCCGACCUGAGAGGGUGAUCGGCCACAUUGGGACUGAGACACGGCCCAGACUCCUACGGGAGGCAGCAGUGGGAAUAUUGCACAAUGGGGGAAACCCUGAUGCAGCCAACGCCGCGUGAGUGAUGACGGUCUUCGGAUUGUAAAGCUCUGUCUUCAGGGACGAUAAUGACGGUACCUGAGGAGGAAGCCACGGCUAACUACGUGCCAGCAGCCGC
RNAcentral lists this ribosomal RNA (493 nucleotides) under uncultured bacterium. RNAcentral describes it as "bacterial SSU rRNA". It matches the Rfam family "Bacterial small subunit ribosomal RNA", at positions 8 to 518 of the family's 1533-position model. The record is from RNAcentral.